Molecule: ribosomal RNA, 353 nt
Filed under: uncultured bacterium
Lineage: Bacteria
Description: partial 16S ribosomal RNA
Rfam family: Bacterial small subunit ribosomal RNA
Source: RNAcentral
CCUACGGGAGGCAGCAGUAGGGAAUUUUCGGCAAUGGGGGGAACCCUGACCGAGCAACGCCGCGUGAACGAAGAAGUUAUUCGUAAUGUAAAGUUCUUUUAACAGGGAAGAAAGAGAAAUUUGACGGUACCUGAAGAAUAAGCUCCGGCUAACUACGUGCCAGCAGCCGCGGUAAUACGUAGGGAGCGAGCGUGAUCCGGAAUUAUUGGGCGUAAAGGGUGCGUAGAUGGCAAAGUAAGUCUUUUGUAAAAAUGCUGGGCUCAACCCAGUAGGGCAAAAGAUACUGCAAAGCUAGAGUAUGCCAGAGGCAAGUGGAACUACAUGUGUAGCGGUCAAAUGCGUACAUCUCUGUA